AGUUUUCUGCCUGGCGUAAUUUUAGCCCUGGCGAUGGUUCUUAGAACCAGAAAUAAAACCUCAUUGGCUCCUUUAAAUGACCAUUGUGUGGCCAGUGAUUGAUUAAUAGAUUUUAUAAUUUUCUGCCUGGCAUAACUCUAGCCCUGGCAAUGGUUCUUAGAACCAGAAAGGAAAUCCCUCAACGGCCCUAUUUAAUGCUAGGUGGGGCCAUUGAUCUAUAAAAGAUGUUAGAGUUUUUGAAUCUCUGAGAUUGAGGGGAGGAACAAUUGCACACCUGCUGCCAAUGUUCCUCGAAAGAGUCAAAACUUGCUGGGCAUGGCAGAAGGAGAAAAAGCAAAAGAAUAAAGAAGAGAGCAUGAAAAUGUCCCACAGCACAAUCCCUGUGAUGUGGCAUCCUACACUGUGAGUUCAAAGGCAUGAAUCCAAGCUGACCUGUAGACGAAGAAGAAGACACCAACAGUAAGACAGAUGGUUUAAUUCUUAUAACUGAAAGUAAACAUGAUGAUGCUUUUUAAUGCGAGGAAUACCAAUAAAGGAGAAUAUUUAUGGCUCAAAGUUGAAAUGAGGCGUCCUUGGUGCUCUCUGAACUUGGUGGUUUUCUCGUAGAUUUUUCAUUACCCAACUAGGGAACAUCAUCAGUGCUAGUAGAAGGGAGUGUGGCUUGCUGUCAGGUUAUGUUUGAGUGGCUUCUUUCAGUGUUGUUGAAAAUCAUCUUAGCGGUUCUUUGUUGCGCUAUUUGUUGUUAGGUUAUUUGACCGUUCCUUGAUUGCGGUAUUGUUUUGUUGCCCUAGAGAUGGUUUUUAGAACCCGAAAUAAAACCUCAAUGGCCAUUUUUAAUAUUAGCUGUGGCCGUUGAUCUAGAAAAGAGGUUAGGGUUUUCUAGCUUUGCAGACUGAGUGGAGGAACGAUCGCACACCUGCUGCCAAAAGAUCCUCGAAAGAGACAAGACCUGCUAGGCACGACUGAGGAAGAAACAUAAGCAGAAGAAGAUAGAAGAGAGCAUGAAAAUGUCUCCAGCUCAAGCCCUUCGGCUGUGAUGUGGCCUCCUACACUGUGAGGCAUGUAUUCUACACCACCUUAGAAGACAGAAGACUCAGUCGUCAGCCUGCGCCGUUGAUGGAAGAAGGAAGAAUGGAACGCAAGAAUGAAUAUGAUCUCCAUCAAGAAUGCUACUUCACCAAGUCAAUCACAACUCACCUUUAGAUGCUAGAUUUUAUACCAUUCUUGCCUGCUGUAAAUUUAGCCAUGGCGAUGGUUAUUAGAACCAAAAAAACCCUCCUCAAUGGCCCUAUUUAAUCCUAGGCAUGGCUGUUGAUGGAUUAUAGAUUUUAUAGUUUUCUGCCUGGCGUAAUUCUAGCCAUGGCAAUGGUUCUUAGAACCAGAAGGAAAACCUCAUUGGCCCUUUUAAAUGACUGGUGUGGCCAGUGCUUGGUAACAGAUUUUAUAAUUUUCUGCCUGGUGUAAUUUUAGCCAUGGCAAUGGUUCUUAGAACCAGAAAGAAAACCUCAUUGGCCCCUUUAAAUGACCAUUGUGUGGCCAGUGAUUAAUAAUAGAUUUUAUAGUUUUCUGCCUGGCGUAAUUUUAGCCCUGACAAUGAUUCUUAGAACCAGAAAUGAAAUCCCUCAGUGGCCCUUUUUAAUGCUAGGUGGGGCCAUUGAUCUAUAAAAGAUGUUAGAGUUUUUGAACCUCUGAGAUUGAGGGGAGGAACAAUUGCACGCCUACUGCCAAUGUUCCUCGAAAGGGACGUGGGCAGAGGAAGAAGGAAAAGAAUGAAGAAGAAAGAAGAAAAUGAAAAUGUCUCCAGCUUAAGCCCUUCAGCUGUGAUGUGGCCUCCUACGUUGUGAGGCAUGUACUCUACACCACCUUAGAAGACAGAAGACUCAGCUGUCAGCCUGCGGCAUUGAUGGAAGAAGGAAGAAUGGAACCCAAGAAUGAAUAUGAUCUCCAUCAAGAAUGCCCCUUCACCAAGUCAAUCACAACUCACCUUUAGAUGAUAGAUUUUAGAGCAUUCUUGCCUGCUGUAAAUUUAGCCAUGGCGAUGGUUAUUAGAACCAAAAAAAACUCCUCAAUGGCCCUAUUUAAUCCUAAGUAUGGCUGUUGAUGGAUUAUAGAUUUUAUAGUUUUCUGCCUGGCGUAAUUCUAGCCCUGGCAAUGGUUCUUAGAACCAGAAGGAAAACCUCAUUGGCCCCUUUAAAUGACCAGUAUGUGGCCAGUGAUUGAUAAUAGAUUUUAUAGUUUUCUACCUGGCAUAACUCUAGCCCUGGCAAUGGUUCUUAGAACCAGAAAUGAAACCUCAUUGGCCCUUUUAAGUGACCAUUGUAUGGCCAGUGAUUAAUAAUAGAUUUUAUAGUUUUCUGCCUGGUGUAAUUUUAGCCCUGGCGAUGGUUCUUAGAACCAGAAAGGAAAUCCCUCAAUGGUCCUUUUUAAUGCUAGGUGUGGCUAUUGAUCUAUGAAAUAUUUUUGAAUCUCUGAGAUUGAGGGGAGGAACAAUUGCACGCCUGUUGCCAAAUGUUCCUUGAAAGAGACAAGACUUGCUGGGCAUGGCAGAGGAAGAAGGAAAAGAAGAGAGCAAGAAAAUGUCUCCAGCCUAACUGUUUUAACCUUCGGCUGUGAUGUGGCGUCCUACCCUGUAAGGCGUGUACACUACACCACCUUAGGAGCCAGAAGACUCAGCUGUCAGCCUGCGGCGUUGAUGGAAGAAGAAGGAAUGGAACGCAAGAAUGAAUAUGAUCUCCAUCAAGAAUGCCCCUUCACCAAAUCAAUCACAACUCACCUUUAGAUGAUAGAUUUUAUACUAUUCUGUAGUUCUUACAACUUGGAAGGGAACACAGAAGCAUUCCACAUGCCCAUCCAUCGUGUAAAUAAUAGUGAUGACUUAUUUGUAGAGGUCUUUCAGUCCCUGAGCUUCGUCUGUGUGACACUCACACUGAAUGGUCUCUCUGGAACAAUGGAGGGAGGGGCAUCACAAGGGCAUCUUCACAAAGACAGCUUGACUCGCAACUCAAACAAAAGAGGAGUAGCAAGGCCAGAGCAGGAGCAGUUUAUGCUGUGACCUGGGGGGGCGCACAGACAAACAUCAAGGCUGA
Long non-coding RNA from Crotalus tigris (Tiger rattlesnake), 3086 nucleotides. RefSeq lists it as uncharacterized. The transcript is spliced from 5 exons. NCBI's taxonomy places the organism in Eukaryota, Metazoa, Chordata, Lepidosauria, Squamata, Viperidae. The record is from RefSeq and is a predicted model, not a curated record.